GGCGGGCUAGCUUAGUGGUAGAGCGCCUCAAAGGUUAUGGAUUUAAAUCUCGAGGUUCGGGGUUCAAAUCCCGAUCCCGCCG
Molecule: transfer RNA, 82 nt
Filed under: Oikopleura dioica
Lineage: Eukaryota; Metazoa; Chordata; Appendicularia; Copelata; Oikopleuridae
Rfam family: tRNA
About the family: Transfer RNA (tRNA) molecules are approximately 80 nucleotides in length. Their secondary structure includes four short double-helical elements and three loops (D, anti-codon, and T loops). Further hydrogen bonds mediate the characteristic L-shaped molecular structure. tRNAs have two regions of fundamental functional importance: the anti-codon, which is responsible for specific mRNA codon recognition, and the 3' end, to which the tRNAs corresponding amino acid is attached (by aminoacyl-tRNA synthetases). tRNAs cope with the degeneracy of the genetic code in two manners: having more than one tRNA (with a specific anti-codon) for a particular amino acid; and 'wobble' base-pairing, i.e. permitting non-standard base-pairing at the 3rd anti-codon position.
Source: Rfam by way of RNAcentral